This is a long non-coding RNA of Bos taurus (domestic cattle), 1718 nucleotides long. The record is from Ensembl. NCBI's taxonomy places the organism in Eukaryota, Metazoa, Chordata, Mammalia, Artiodactyla, Bovidae.
CUCAGCUUCAGAGCAGUGAAUCAGGUGAAACAGGCCUGGCUGCUCCUGGGUGUUCUUUCCCCACACAGCCAAGGAUGCAACUUCCCACCUCUAGAUUCCUGAGCAACGUGACAGGACGCCCCCCGAGGAUGUCUCCCACCCUGAGAUGCUGGGGUCCCUCCACAGACAUGUCAUCACACCAAGUUGACACCCGGGGCUUGGCAUCCUCCGCCUCGCCCACAGAAGCCCAGCUGGGGUGAUGGGGUUUAUCUCCAAGGCAAACAGAGCCACCCCCAUUAUCCAUGACUGGCUGUGUUUACUGAUGACAUCACAUCCAUCCCGGGCUUCCUGGUGGUGACUCAAGGGUGAGCUGCUGGUCAAGAUGAGUCUUGCUGGGACCCACCCAAACAGGCAAGCAUCUGGAGUCACCCAACUGGAGUGAAACCCUACAGGGUAGUUGCACAACCUGUGAGGGUGUGGAAAUUCCAUGUCUUUCGACCAACCAGGCUCGAGGCCUGAAGGUGAAGGGAAAGAACAUGCCAGCAGGUCUCUCUGUUGACAGUGGAGCCAAAACAGGCUGGAGAUCAAAGGCAGCCUGGCAGGGGAGAGGUGGGGAGAGGCACCUGCAGCCCCAGCACGUGAACCCGUGACCUUCCUGCAGCCUGGGGGCCCUGCAGUCCCUGGACAGGGCCACGGCCAGCCCCACACAGCUGCUUCUGACUCCUGCGUAUUUUGAGGGGGAGCCUGGCCGGAUAGCUGCCUCCCUGGAGAAAUGCCGUGAAAGGGGGCCCUCGCUGCCCUGGGGGUCAUCUGCAGGACUGUCCACCCUCCUUCCAAUUGAUCAGGACCCGGAGGCCCAGGGACAGAAUGUGACUUGCUCCAGAUCACCCAGGGGCUGUCAUCAUUAUACAGAAACGAAAUUCACCGGGCCUGCCGUCCAAUGCCCUUCCAGCCAUAUCGGGCAUGCUCUGUCCCCUUUCAAGGGCAGCAGGAGACUCCUGUCACCAAGCCACCGUGGGGACGGGGCCCAGGAGCCUAGGGCUACCCCGAUGUCGCGUCAGGAGACCACAGCCUGGAAACAUCACAAGGCACCAAUGCCAUUACUUUUUCCAGCUGUAUGGAGGAAGAAUUCCACUAAGGUUACACCCAAGAGUUGACCUAAGAGCUCAACAUCUAUCUCAGUCAGAAGGAAAGGAAAUACGCACAAAUAUUUGGUCUGCUUAAUAUCAAAGGUCUGAAUGACCUCAGGAGUUGUGGUACUUCGUUCCGAAAUCUCAUCUCCUUUCAUUUUUUGAAGAAAGCUGCUACUAUAGGUCGGAGAAGGCAAUGGCACCCCACUCCAGUACUCUUACCUGGAAAAUCCCAUGGACGGAGGAGCCUGGUAGGCUUCAGUCCAUGAGGUCACUAAGAGUCGGAUAUGACUGAGCGACUUCACUUUAACUUUUCACUUUCCUGCACUGGAGAAGGAAAUGGUAACCCACUCCAGUAUUCUUGCCUGGAGAAUCCCAGGGACGGGGGAGCCUGGUGGGCUUCCACACGACUGAAGUGACUUAGCAGCAGCAGCAGCAGCUACUAUAGGUUAAAUCCUCCAAGAAUGAUGAACUCAAUUACAGGCCUAGAGAUGGAUCUCUUAUUUUAGCUAAUAAUAAUGCAGGAACACUUUCUACUCAGGGCCCCUGGGGACAGUGCCAUUGUUUUUGUUUUUGUGGGAAUGAUGGCUGACUCAGAAGUGAAGCAGG